This 1470-nucleotide long non-coding RNA is filed under the name Bos mutus (wild yak). RNAcentral's name for it is "lncRNA (ENSBMUG00000011443.1)". Lineage: Eukaryota; Metazoa; Chordata; Mammalia; Artiodactyla; Bovidae. The record is from RNAcentral.
CAGCUCCUCGUCCCCAGCGCCCUGGCGACGCCCCUGCAGGACCCGCAGGCCCCGGGCCUCAGCCAGCGGCAGGUUCUGCUCCGGACUGGGCCCGCCGGGGCAGGCGGGGCAAGCAGCAGCCCGUGGGCCGCGUGCGCAGGGCUUCUGGCGAGAAGGUGGCCUUCCACUUCGCCUGGCUCGGACAGCAAGUGUGUGAGCCAUGCUGGGGAGCUGUGCCUGCCUUGUACACUGACUGGGGGACACAGAGGAGAGGCCACCCACGGUCACAGUGGACCCGAGCAGGGGACAGGGCAUUGGGCAGGUCGUGCAGCUGUGCAGACCUCUCCAGGGCUCAGCCCAGCCGUGGAGACCAGGCCCACCCAGACCACCCAGAGGCGACGCCAGUAUCCCCUGAGGGUUCUACGCAGGUUGGCUCCUGCCAGCGGCGGUGGUGGGCACACGGAUGUCCCUGGUGGGCUGCAUCAUGGUGUCCUCAGAUACACCCACGAGGCAGUGUCCCCACCGGCUGAGGCCGGCUGGCCCCCGGCCCGCAGUGCUCAGCGGAGCAGCUGGGCGGGAGACGCCGUGGGAGCUCCUCCUGUUCCUCCUGCUAUUAGGAAUGGCAGCCAGGAAGGUCAAGCGCAGGACCCCGAGCACACAGACCUUGCCGCCCUCAGGCACAGAGUCCUCAGGCUGCGGGUUUCCUCAGCCUUUACACUUCCAGGGUGGGUCAGCUCUUCCCUGAGCGCAGCUGCGAGGCCCGCACCCACACUCCUUGGGCCGGAGCUUCGGAGCCCAGGAUGGACCCACAGACAGACACGCCUUCAGCACCCUGCUGGGAACCUGUCUCUGCCAGUGUCCUAGGUCUGCCCUAACAAAUGACCACAAAUGGGCGUUAAAACAACAAGCUGCAAAAAAAAAAAAAAAACAAGCUGCUUUUCUCACAGUUCUGCAGGCAGGAUCCAGUACUGCCGGUGUGGCAGCUGGUUCCUUCUGGAGAAGGUGCGGGGCGCCCGCCCCAUGUCCAGUGGCUCUGGGGCUCUGACGCCGCUGGCUUGUGGCCGCGCCGCUCCCAUCUCCCCCGUCUUCACGUGGCCUCUCCCUCUGUGCAGGCCACGUCUGUCUCUCCUCCUCCUACAAGGGCUUGUCGCUGGUGCUCUCAUCGGGGGCUCCUUAUCCUAAUCACACAUGCAAAGGCCUUUCUUCCAAGGAAGGCUGUAUUCUGAUGGCCUUCCCAUCAGAACGUGUGUACAGGAGGAUAUGUCUUCUCAGGAGCACAGUUCAAGCCACUACAGUCCAUCCUCUGGCCCCCAUGAGCAAAACACAGUCACCCCCAACCCCGUGCCCCAAAGUGUCACCCACUGCAGCGUCAACCCGAGUCCCCCCAACCCAGUGCCGCAAAGUGUCACCCACUGCAGCGUCAACCCAAGUCCCCAGGCUCAUCUCAUCCUGAGUCGGGGGUGGGGGAGGUUCUGCGGCAACACCGCUGCC